RNAcentral lists this ribosomal RNA (499 nucleotides) under uncultured bacterium. RNAcentral describes it as "partial 16S ribosomal RNA". It matches the Rfam family "Bacterial small subunit ribosomal RNA", at positions 28 to 507 of the family's 1533-position model. The record is from RNAcentral.
GACGAACGCUGGCGGCGUGCCUAAUACAUGCAAGUCGAGCGGACCAAACAGGAGCUUGCUCUUGUUUGGUUAGCGGCGGACGGGUGAGUAACACGUGGGUAACCUGCCCGUAAGACCGGGAUAACUCCGGGAAACCGGAGCUAAUACCGGAUAACACCGAGGACCGCAUGGUCUUUGGUUGAAAGGCGGCUUCGGCUGCCACUUACGGAUGGGCCCGCGGCGCAUUAGCUAGUUGGUGAGGUAACGGCUCACCAAGGCGACGAUGCGUAGCCGGCCUGAGAGGGGGACCGGCCAAACUGGGACUGAGACACGGCCCAGACUCCUACGGGAGGCAGCAGUAGGGAAUCUUACGCAAUGGACGAAAGUCUGACGGAGCGACGCCGCGUGAGCGAAGAAGGUCGUCGGAUCGUAAAGCUCUGUUGUUAGGGAAGAAGAAGCGCCGUUCGAACAGGGCGGCGCGGUGACGGUACCUAACGAGAAAGCCCCGGCUAACUACGUG